This 253-nucleotide ribosomal RNA is filed under the name uncultured bacterium. Its description in RNAcentral is "partial 16S ribosomal RNA". It matches the Rfam family "Bacterial small subunit ribosomal RNA", at positions 524 to 776 of the family's 1533-position model. The record is from RNAcentral.
UACGUAGGGUGCAAGCGUUGUCCGGAAUUACUGGGCGUAAAGCGAACGUAGGCGGUGUUCCAUGUCAGAGGUGAAAGCCUGGGGCUCAACUCCAGAAUUGCCUUUGAAACGGGAACGCUUGAGUCCGAGAGAGGAUGGCGGAAUUCCUAGUGUAGAGGUGAAAUUCGUAGAUAUUAGGAAGAACACCAGUGGCGAAGGCGGCCAUCUGGCUCGGUACUGACGCUCAGGUACGAAAGCGUGGGGAGCAAACAGG